GACGAACGCUGGCGGCGUGCUUAACACAUGCAAGUCGAACGCUGAAGCUCAGCUUGCUGGGUGGAUGAGUGGCGAACGGGUGAGUAACACGUGAGUAACCUGCCCUCUUCUUUGGGAUAACGCCCGGAAACGGGUGCUAAUACUGGAUAUUCACUGAUUCUCGCAUGGGGGUUGGUGGAAAGGUUUUUUCUGGUGGGGGAUGGGCUCGCGGCCUAUCAGCUUGUUGGUGGGGUGAUGGCCUACCAAGGCUUUGACGGGUAGCCGGCCUGAGAGGGUGACCGGUCACAUUGGGACUGGGAUACGGCCCAGACUCCUACGGGAGGCAGUAGUGGGGAAUAUUGCACAAUGGGCGAAAGCCUGAUGCAGCGACGCCGCGUGAGGGAUGGAGGCCUUCGGGUUGUAAACCUCUUUCGCUCAUGGUCAAGCCGCAGCUUUGGGUUGUGGUGAGGGUAGUGGGUAAAGAAGCGCCGGCUAACUACGUG
This 482-nucleotide ribosomal RNA is filed under the name uncultured bacterium. RNAcentral describes it as "partial 16S ribosomal RNA". It matches the Rfam family "Bacterial small subunit ribosomal RNA", at positions 28 to 507 of the family's 1533-position model. The record is from RNAcentral.